AAAAAUAUAAGGUAGAAAGCAGUCUGAGGAAGUGAGCAGAAGUCAAUUGUUCUUUACAUUCUGUACAUAGUAGGUGCUUGUGUUGUGGUUUAAAUGAGUCAACUUGAGUGAAGAUGAGAAGCAACAAGUAGGUUACUGUUUUGACUUGAGUCCAUCAAAUUACCUCUACAAACAAGGAACAAAGGAACAACUGGCAUCACAUUUGCUCAAAAACAUUCCCACUUAUUCACUUAG
Long non-coding RNA from Perognathus longimembris pacificus (Pacific pocket mouse), 234 nucleotides. RefSeq lists it as uncharacterized. Lineage: Eukaryota; Metazoa; Chordata; Mammalia; Rodentia; Heteromyidae. The record is from RefSeq and is a predicted model, not a curated record. The transcript has 2 exons.